Lolium rigidum is the source of this 342-nucleotide long non-coding RNA. RefSeq lists it as uncharacterized. The record is from RefSeq and is a predicted model, not a curated record. NCBI's taxonomy places the organism in Eukaryota, Viridiplantae, Streptophyta, Magnoliopsida, Poales, Poaceae. The transcript has 2 exons.
UAAAGGGGCGCCGUGGAAAAUAUACUGAGAUGGCGACUAAUCAUGUCCUGCAUGGUGUCUGGCUGCGUGAGCUUGAAGAACCAGUGUUCCAUUGGCAUGGUAAAUUAUGAACCUAUGUGCUCUUUACUCUGGUCUCCAUCGGGAGGUUACAUGUCUCAGGGUUUUGCAAGCAGCCAACUAGGGUAUAUGGGGAGUAAUGCAUGUGUCCAUCCCUGGAUUCGUGAGAGAUCAAAAUUUUGCUACAACAUCCACGAGUGUAAAUUUGAAGUGUCAGAGCCUACCUUUUGGUUAUGUACUGCAAGAUUUUGAAUUAAUUACUUAGUUCUCACAGAUUGAUCAAAA